Molecule: small nuclear RNA, 106 nt
Organism: Rattus norvegicus (Norway rat)
Lineage: Eukaryota; Metazoa; Chordata; Mammalia; Rodentia; Muridae
Source: Ensembl
GUGCUCACUUUAGCAGCACAUACACUAAAAUUGGAAUGAUACAGAGAAGAUUAGCAUGGCUCUUUUCAAGGAUGACACGCAAAUUCGUGAAGUGUUCCAUAUUGAA